RNAcentral lists this ribosomal RNA (484 nucleotides) under uncultured bacterium. Its description in RNAcentral is "partial 16S ribosomal RNA". It matches the Rfam family "Bacterial small subunit ribosomal RNA", at positions 29 to 507 of the family's 1533-position model. The record is from RNAcentral.
AGUGAACGCUGGCGGCAGGCCUAACACAUGCAAGUCGAGCGGCAGCGCGGGGGCAACCCUGGCGGCGAGCGGCGGACGGGUGAGGAAUUCGUCGGAAUCUGCCUUUUUGUGGGGGAUAACGUAGGGAAACUUACGCUAAUACCGCAUACGUCCUACGGGAGAAAGUGGGGGACCGCAAGGCCUCACGCAGAAAGAUGAGCCGACGACCGAUUAGCUAGUUGGUGGGGUAAAGGCCCACCAAGGCGACGAUCGGUAGCUGGUCUGAGAGGAUGAUCAGCCACACUGGAACUGAGACACGGCCCAGACUCCUACGGGAGGCAGCAGUGGGGAAUAUUGGACAAUGGGCGCAAGCCUGAUCCAGCCAGGCCGCGUGUGUGAAGAAGGCCUUCGGGUUGUAAAGCACUUUUGUCCGGAAAGAAAUCCCUGGAGCUAAUACCUUCGGGGGAUGACGGUACCGGAAGAAUAAGCACCGGCUAACUUCGUG